AGCUUCCAAUUCAAAACCUCCUCCUCGGAUGCUGGCGUGAAGAGGCAAAGGGGAAAGAGCUGAAAGUGAGAGGGAGAGAACGGGGAAGAAGAGGUCCUGAGUGGUAACAAUUUGUCCCGUCAGCAGUACCAUCCUGAGGUGCUGGAGCCUCAAGGGAGGGCCACACUCAAGGGAGCCAGAGGAGGCCUCAUUCUACAGCCCACUGCCCGGGGGCCAGUGUUGGCCCUGCACAUCCAGCUUGACCUGUUUGGUCCAGAAAGAGGAAGCAUCCUGCAGACCCUGGUGCUAUUCUGGCCAGCCAGAAGAAGACACGCACUCAGCAUUUCAGUGAACGCAGCUUGAAGCCACCUCAGCACCGUGGCCGCCCUCCCCCACUGCUGGCCCAGGUGGACUUCGCUGCCAUACUCUCGCCCUCCCUGCUUCCUGACAAGCCAUGCUUCUUCCAUUCAGUACCUGGGACUGUGCUUUCUGCACCUUAGUGAAGACUUAACAUGUAUCAGGUUAAAUCCUCAUUUUCUCCCUCCUCUUGAGAUUAUUUUAGACCCAAAUUUUGCCCUAAUGCACGAGCUUUUCCUUACGGCUCUGUGGUACCUCAGAUUUGAUCAGGAUACCUCUCCUGUUGUCAUUUGGUCAGAGAUAAAAAUGGACUUGCUGGAGGGUGCUACCUAAUACAGAAGAAUGAAUGUCUGCAAUUUGUCCCUCCCUCUCCUCAUAGCAACCUGAAUAUACUGACCUCUAAUCAUCU
This is a long non-coding RNA of Tupaia belangeri chinensis (Chinese tree shrew), 745 nucleotides long. RefSeq lists it as uncharacterized. The transcript is spliced from 3 exons. The record is from RefSeq and is a predicted model, not a curated record. Lineage: Eukaryota; Metazoa; Chordata; Mammalia; Scandentia; Tupaiidae.